This 382-nucleotide small RNA is filed under the name Arabidopsis thaliana (thale cress). Its description in RNAcentral is "ATSL294540". The record is from RNAcentral. Lineage: Eukaryota; Viridiplantae; Streptophyta; Magnoliopsida; Brassicales; Brassicaceae.
AUUAACUUUUGAUUGGCUUAGGACAAAAAGGUUGUUUCAAGAAGAAGAAGAAGGAGAAGAAGAAGAUGAUCAAGACUUGUUCUACUUCGUGAUAGAAACAAUGACGCUAUCUUACCUGAGCUUUACUAAUUGGUAUAUUCCCUUUUUCUGGUCUUUUUUUCUUGACCUUGUAAGACCUUUUCUCUACUCUUUUCUGUCUUCUUACUAUUUCCAUCUUCGAGAUUUCUCAAUUCUGUCGAGUUUCUACAUUAGUUGUUUAAUUUGACUAAAUCGAUCAAGAUUUUGUUGUAUACUCUUAUGAUUCAUAUUCCCACUCUUUUAUGUAUCCCUCUUGAGCUGCCUAAUUUUUUUUUUCUCUAAUCUCUCUUACUAUGUAUUUCUU